This 401-nucleotide ribosomal RNA is filed under the name uncultured bacterium. RNAcentral's name for it is "bacterial SSU rRNA". It matches the Rfam family "Bacterial small subunit ribosomal RNA", at positions 355 to 773 of the family's 1533-position model. The record is from RNAcentral.
UGGGGAAUAUUGGACAAUGGGCGAAAGCCUGAUCCAGCAAUGCCGCGUGAGUGAUGAAGGCCUUAGGGUUGUAAAGCUCUUUUACCCGGGAUGAUAAUGACAGUACCGGGAGAAUAAGCCCCGGCUAACUCCGUGCCAGCAGCCGCGGUAAUACGGAGGGGGCGAGCGUUGUUCGGAAUUACUGGGCGUAAAGCGCGCGUAGGCGGCUUAGCAAGUUAGAGGUGAAAGCCCGAAGCUCAACUUCGGAAUUGCCUUUAAAACUGCAAAGCUAGAAUCAUGGAGAGGUGAGUGGAAUUCCGAGUGUAGAGGUGAAAUUCGUAGAUAUUCGGAAGAACACCAGUGGCGAAGGCGACUCACUGGACAUGUAUUGACGCUGAGGUGCGAAAGCGUGGGGAGCAAAC